RNAcentral lists this ribosomal RNA (406 nucleotides) under Pantoea sp. RNAcentral's name for it is "bacterial SSU rRNA". It matches the Rfam family "Bacterial small subunit ribosomal RNA", at positions 59 to 461 of the family's 1533-position model. The record is from RNAcentral. Lineage: Bacteria; Pseudomonadati; Pseudomonadota; Gammaproteobacteria; Enterobacterales; Erwiniaceae.
CAGUCGGACGGUAGCACAGAGGAGCUUGCUCCUCGGGUGACGAGUGGCGGACGGGUGAGUAAUGUCUGGGGAUCUGCCCGAUAGAGGGGGAUAACCACUGGAAACGGUGGCUAAUACCGCAUAACGUCGCAAGACCAAAGAGGGGGACCUUCGGGCCUCUCACUAUCGGAUGAACCCAGAUGGGAUUAGCUAGUAGGCGGGGUAACGGCCCACCUAGGCGACGAUCCCUAGCUGGUCUGAGAGGAUGACCAGCCACACUGGAACUGAGACACGGUCCAGACUCCUACGGGAGGCAGCAGUGGGGAAUAUUGCACAAUGGGCGCAAGCCUGAUGCACCCAUGCCGCGUGUAUGAAGAAGGCCUUCGGGUUGUAAAGUACUUUCAGCGGGGAGGAAGGCGAUGUGGUU